GAGCGAUGCAAGGACCAGAACUGGUUGACUCGAGGAGUCGUUUUCGAUUUAUUGAAUCCUGUCUCGGCUUGAUGGGCUCUUUGUGCAUCAGCUAUGCGAUCUGGACCCCUCGGUGGCUGGAUGACCGAGGUCUGUGGACCUCAGAGAAUCAGACCAGACUGGACGACAGAUGGACCACUGAAGACAUUGCUAAAGCUCUGGAGGCUGAGAGAGUGCUUGCAGUGGUGGCUUUCCUCAUGUCGGUGAGCUCUGGACUGCUGUGUCUCAUGUUCGCCCUCUGCUGGACGUCUCAAACGGUGCGUUCCUACUCGAACACUCGCUCGCUGCUGAUGGCAGGCCAGGCGAUCGACCCGACCACACUACUGCUGCUCACACUAUUACCUACAGGUCAGUACCUCGCUAUUUAGCUUUCCUUAGCCAUGUAGUAUACACGUUUUAACCUUCUACAUUUUCUUUUUCCCUACAGGAUUUUUCUUUUUUCUCAGCUGGGCGCUUUUUACCCAUCAACAUAUUGGUGAGAUCAGGGAAGACGUCAGUCGACUCGGCCCGUCCUAUUGGCUGGGAGUGGUGGGUUGGGCUUCGCUAUUGGCCGUGCUGCCUGUGGUCUUCCUGGCGGAGAAGUUUGUGGUUCCUGACAUCCUGCCGGAGUUAAAAAAGGCUGCCGAAAUGUGGUGGAAGGCUCCGGAGGUUGCACACGCGCGAUCGUUUAGUGAGGGUUUCCAUCAUUCACAUCAUAAGUCUCAUCCUGAUGUUAGGAGGUAUUUGUCAGUGCCUUGAAUGAGAGGAAGGAGGUAGCAAGGGAAUACAGAAGAGAAGAGACUCUGGUCUCGCUGGUCAACUAGCCAAAUAUAUGAGCUGAGCAUAUGUCUCACAACAGGGGUCAAAGACCUGGAUGAGAAACCUGUAACUGCUUUCUGGGAUGUGGGACACAAAGCUACAGGUUAUAAGGUUGUGUGCUGGCUUUGACAGUGGUUUCACAGCUGUAUUUGGACGAGGACACCCAAAAAUGUGGUUAAAGGACUAACAGAGUUCACUAUCUGUGUGAAACAUAAAGCUGAAAGGAUCUUUAAGUUGCAGACAGACCAUUUCUCCAUGACUUUUCAUAGUCGUUGUCUGCAGUUGCCAUUCUGUGAAUUAUACAGUGACUUUCAGGGAG
Molecule: long non-coding RNA, 1156 nt
Filed under: Sinocyclocheilus anshuiensis
Lineage: Eukaryota; Metazoa; Chordata; Actinopteri; Cypriniformes; Cyprinidae
Description: lncRNA (ENSSANG00000031499.1)
Source: RNAcentral